CCUACGGGAGGCAGCAGUGAGGAAUAUUGGUCAAUGGACGAGAGUCUGAACCAGCCAAGUAGCGUGAAGGAUGACUGCCCUAUGGGUUGUAAACUUCUUUUAUAAGGGAAUAAAACGCGGCACGUGUGCCUCUUUGCAUGUACUUUAUGAAUAAGGAUCGGCUAACUCCGUGCCAGCAGCCGCGGUAAUACGGAGGAUCCGAGCGUUAUCCGGAUUUAUUGGGUUUAAAGGGAGCGUAGAUGGGUUGUUAAGUCAGUUGUGAAAGUUUGCGGCUCAACCGUAAAAUUGCAAUUGAUACUGGCAGUCUUGAGUACAGUAGAGGUAGGCGGAAUUCGUGGUGUAGCGGUGAAAUGCUUAGAUAUCACGAAGAACCCCGAUUGCGAAGGCAGCUUACUAAACUGUGACUGACAUUGAUGCUCGAAAGUGUGGGUAUCAAACAGGAUUAGAUACCCGGGUAGUC
Molecule: ribosomal RNA, 460 nt
Filed under: uncultured bacterium
Lineage: Bacteria
Description: partial 16S ribosomal RNA
Rfam family: Bacterial small subunit ribosomal RNA
Source: RNAcentral